GCGGAAUUCAUGUUGAGUUUUGAGUGUUCUCCAAAAUGUAUUUUCCUGUUUUCCUUCAGUCUUCUUUUUGUAUCGACGCCGUCGUCCUCAUGUCAGCGGAAGUGACCGAUGACGUCACUGGAAGACAGGAAGAAAAAAAAACAAGUCCGUCCCCAACGUUGCCAAACGUGCGAUAAUUAUUUGGACGAUUCCCUAACAAUACUUGUAAACCUCCUAAUCUAUGAUGAUUUACCUGUUCAAUAUAUGGAUAAUGACAAACAAAGGAUACACCCACUGUUUACUCUGAGUAGAAGGGGGUCCAAACUAAGCAACGUCGUCGUCAACUUGGAAUGUCACGCAUGACGGAGCUGCUUAUGAGGGCUGUGAGAUGGGAUGGUGGCCCAGACAAGACCUGCUUCUCGUUGAGAAGAGCGAUUGGCGAUUUCAUGUAAGAUUCUCCAAAAGGGUCCCAUUAGACCCAAAAAAGUUGCUAGAUUUGUUGCUAGUCGCUUUUUGGGAUAAACAAUCUUGAGGGGUCAAAAUACUUAUUAAAUAACAAGAUAAAUAGCAA
Nerophis ophidion (straightnose pipefish) is the source of this 550-nucleotide long non-coding RNA. RefSeq lists it as uncharacterized. The record is from RefSeq and is a predicted model, not a curated record. The transcript is spliced from 3 exons. Lineage: Eukaryota; Metazoa; Chordata; Actinopteri; Syngnathiformes; Syngnathidae.